AAGGCUUCAGUACGACCCAGUCAGAACCAUAAGUCUCAAAGCCCCGACGAGUAGGGUGGCGUGCCGGUGCGCGUUGAAGGCCAAGACGUGAGUCAGGCUGGAGCCGCCGGUAGUGCAGAUCUUGGUGGUAGUAGCAAGUACUCUGGUGAACCAACCUGGAGCUGUGAGGUCUGGAUUAGGGUUCCAUGUCAACAGUGAUUGAACAUGGGUGAGUCGAUCCUAAGCCAGCUGUGAAUGCAGUGACAUCCCGACAACGGGGACGCCGCGUACAUGCCCGGCCUUACACCCCCAAAACAAAGCUCUCGUGUAUCUCUCUCUCUAAAGGUGUCUGUGUGACGAAAAGGUGUCUGGUACGGUAAUGCGCACACACGGUGAUCGCUACGCAGUGUGAGUGUGUGCGCUUGGUCUGGUUACGCUCAUAAGCGUUGUUGGUGUCCAAUCAUAAAAAAGUCGCGCCCACACGGUGAUCGCUACGGAGCGUGAGUGUGAGCGCGCAAGGCAAAAGCAUAAAACGAGAACAGAGAGAGAGAGAGAAAGAGAGUGGGUGAGNGNGAGAUUGCCUUUGCAUGAGUCCCCUGCGUUGGUUCUAUGUCAGGCGAAAGGGAAUGGGGACUUUUUUCCUUGACCGGUCCCGGCACCCUCGAUUGGCUUUGCCAAUCAAUGGUCCAUGCAAAUGGAACCAGGCCACAGCCGUCGGCAGUCGCCCGAGGAAGAGUUUUCUUUUCUGCUUAACGCACGAGGUCAUCCCUGGAAACAGUUCGGCUGGCGAAAGGGUGUCCCGUUGCGGCAGAGCGCCACGACUGUCGUGCGCGUCUCGGUGUUCCUGCUGAUCCGUGAAAACGUGGUCGAGGGGAGUGCUCUUGUAUCAACGAAACGUCCGACAAGUUCGGGACGGACCGUACCCUAUAUCCGCAUCUGGUCUCCAAGGUUCGUAGCCUCUGCAGAGUCAGACACAUGUAGGUAAGGGAAGUCGGCAAACUCGAUCCGUAACUUCGGGAAAAGGAUUGGCUCUGAGGGCCGAGCUGGGCCGGGCCUUGCCUGCAAAGCAGUACCUAUAGUGACCGGAGUUUCAGGAGUGCGAGGGGCUCUAGUAGCUGCUUGUGCGUGUGUGUGCGUUCGCUCGUGCAUGCGCGUGUGGGCACGAACGAGUCCACCGCUCCGCUCCAACCACGAACGGCUGUGACGGCAAGGGCUCUGGGCGGGAGCAGUCUAUCCGUUGGCCUCCAGCGCGUCUGGUUGGCGGCGGUGCUCCGUCUGACCCAUACGGCUCCAGCGGCUAGCGGCUAACUCAGAACUGUCAUGGACCAAGGGAAUCCGACUGUCUAAUUAAAACAAAGCGUCGUGACGGCCCCUGUUGGGUGUUGACGCGACGUGAUUUCUGCCCAGUGCUCUAA
RNAcentral lists this ribosomal RNA (1394 nucleotides) under Niphargus salonitanus. RNAcentral's name for it is "eukaryotic LSU rRNA". It matches the Rfam family "Eukaryotic large subunit ribosomal RNA", at positions 1324 to 2213 of the family's 3401-position model. Lineage: Eukaryota; Metazoa; Arthropoda; Malacostraca; Amphipoda; Niphargidae. The record is from RNAcentral.